AAAAAAAAAAUAAUUUUAAUAAUAUUAGUUAUAAUAUAAUGAUUAAAUUAGUAAUUUAAUUUGUAUAAAUUAUUUUAUGAAUAGUAUAUAUAUAAAUAUAUAUUUAAGUAACUAGGCAAAAUAAUUAUAUUCACCUGUUUAACAAAAACAUGUCUUUUUGAAUUUAAUAUAAAGUCAGUUCUGCUCAAUGAGGGAUUAAAUAGCUGCAGUAUUUUGACUGUACAAAGGUAGCAUAAUCAAUUGUCUUUUAAUUGAAGGCUGGGAUGAAUGAAUUAAUGAAAUAUAAACUGUCUCAAUAAUAUAAAAUAAAUUUAAAUUUUGAGUCAAAAUGCUUAAUUUUAUUUAAGGGACGAUAAGACCCUAUAGAAUUUUAUAUAUUAUAAAUUUUAUAAAUUGUAUUAAUAUAUUUAGUUGGGAGGAUUUUUAAAUUUAUUUAACUUUAAAAUUUUAAAAUAUUGAUUAAUAGAAUUUUAAAUUGAAAUAUAAUUAAUAAUAUAAAAAUAAAUUACCUUAGGGAUAACAGCGUAAUAUUUUUGGAAAGAUCAAAUUGAAAAAGGUGUUUGCGACCUCGAUGUUGAAUUAAAAUUAAUUAUAAAUGCAGGUGUUUAUAAAUUUAGUCUGUUCGACUAUUAAAAUUUUACAUGAUUUGAGUUCAGAUCGACGUGAGUCAGAUUGGUUUCUAUCUUUAAAAAGAUUUAAGAUUUUUGUACGAAAGGACUAAGUUUUAAAAAUAAUUUUUAAUUAAUUAUUAAUAA
This 755-nucleotide ribosomal RNA is filed under the name Osmia lignaria propinqua. RNAcentral describes it as "partial 16S ribosomal RNA". The stretch from base 516 to 674 matches the Rfam family "Archaeal large subunit ribosomal RNA", at positions 2542 to 2701 of the family's 2987-position model. The record is from RNAcentral. Lineage: Eukaryota; Metazoa; Arthropoda; Insecta; Hymenoptera; Megachilidae.